AAAGUGACUAGGCACCUCGACCGCUCGUAUAUCCAUUCAAAAGUGAGGGGUCAAUAGUGCACUUAUUGCGUUCUUCUAAAGUUUGGCCAGCUCCCGUUGGAAUAUCGACAACAUUCUCGCGACCGUUUGAUAGGCACUGGAAACAAACAAAAGUCUUCCGCGUUCCGGAUAGAAGAGUCUCACUCGAGGCGAAAGAAAACCUAUGCAUGGGAUUAUUCCGGGGUGCUGCGGCAGCGAAACAAAAUUGAUGUGUGUGCUCAAGUGUUAUCAGUGUGAAUACGAUUAUUUUUGAAUGUUAUUUCGAUUACCGCUGGAAGAGUAGCAGCCAGUACCGGAGGAGUAAGAUUAUCGAAAAUGGAAUAGUCAGGAGGAGUUGUAGCUGAGCUGGAAAACGAGCAAGAAUUAAACUGUAGAAUUCAUGUUACAAACUCAAUACAAUCUUUACAAAGCUAGGACUUGAUUCACCCUACCAGUGGCGAUGUGAACAUCUUCAGUUAUAACAUCAUCAAUGUCGUACGCAAACUAGCGGAACGUAGUGAUCAGGUCAGUGUAGACGCUGCUUGGAAAAGUGUACAACUGAACAAAGCCAACCAGCCGAAGAAGCAUUAUUAAGUAGAGCAGCAGUAUUCAUCAUCCCGCACAACCCGCUCGAUCGAAGCAAUCUGGUGGGUUGGUGCGGGCAGAGGAAUCCCGUCAGCAGUUCUAACCGAGGAGGUUCACUGGGUCAUCGAUAGCAGCUAAAAGAAGCCCCCC
Long non-coding RNA from Topomyia yanbarensis, 753 nucleotides. RefSeq lists it as uncharacterized. The transcript has 3 exons. NCBI's taxonomy places the organism in Eukaryota, Metazoa, Arthropoda, Insecta, Diptera, Culicidae. The record is from RefSeq and is a predicted model, not a curated record.